Molecule: ribosomal RNA, 404 nt
Filed under: Actinomycetes bacterium
Lineage: Bacteria; Bacillati; Actinomycetota; Actinomycetes
Description: Actinobacteria bacterium partial 16S ribosomal RNA
Rfam family: Bacterial small subunit ribosomal RNA
Source: RNAcentral
UGGGGAAUAUUGGACAAUGGGCGCAAGCCUGAUCCAGCCAUGCCGCGUGAGUGAUGAAGGCCCUAGGGUUGUAAAGCUCUUUCACCGGUGAAGAUAAUGACGGUAACCGGAGAAGAAGCCCCGGCUAACUUCGUGCCAGCAGCCGCGGUAAUACGAAGGGGGCUAGCGUUGGUCGGAUUUACUGGGCGUAAAGCGCACGUAGGCGGACUUGUAAGUCAGGGGUGAAAUCCCGGGGCUCAACCCCGGAACUGCCUUUGAUACUGGAAGUCUUGAGUAUGGUAGAGGUGAGUGGAAUUCCGAGUGUAGAGGUGAAAUUCGUAGAUAUUCGGAGGAACACCAGUGGGGAAGGCGGCUCACUGGACCAUUACUGACGCUGAGGUGCGAAAGGGUGGGGAGCAAACAGG